UCAGUCGAGUCGGGUAGCUUGGGAAUGCUGCUCUAAUCGGUGGUAAAUCUCAUCGAAGGCUAAAUACUGGUGGGAGACUGAUAGCAAAAAAGUACCGUGAGGGAAAGAUGAAAAGCACUUUGAAAAGAGAGUGAAAAGAACCUGAAACCAUUCUGUGGGAAGCGUAUUGCAUCACAAUGAGAGACGUUUGCAUGUUCAACCUUUCGGGGUGCAUUCAUGUAGAGGUCUAUCUGUCGUGGGCUUGUGGGCAGUCGAUUUUUAUUUUGGGCUGCCUCAGGCUGAGGGCUCCGCGAAAGCGUUGAGGACGGCAGAGGGACGAUGCGAUUCGACCCGUCUUGAAACACGGACCAAGGAGUCUAGCACAUCUGCGAGUCAAAGGGUGUUUAAACCCCAGGGCGCAGUGAAAGCAAAUUUGUUCCAUAAAACGAGCAGUUUGAGGCGGCAUACGAUCGUUGAUUGUAAGUCUGACCUAGAGCAAAUGUGCUGGGACCCGAAAGAUGGUGAACUAUGCCGGAGUAGGGCGAAGCCAGAGGAAACUCUGGUGGAGGCUCGUAGCGGUGCUGACGUGCAAAUCGCUCGUCCAACUCGGGUAUA
RNAcentral lists this ribosomal RNA (594 nucleotides) under Ceramium sp. LLG-2014. RNAcentral describes it as "eukaryotic LSU rRNA". It matches the Rfam family "Eukaryotic large subunit ribosomal RNA", at positions 256 to 919 of the family's 3401-position model. Lineage: Eukaryota; Rhodophyta; Florideophyceae; Ceramiales; Ceramiaceae. The record is from RNAcentral.